RNAcentral lists this ribosomal RNA (449 nucleotides) under uncultured bacterium. Its description in RNAcentral is "bacterial SSU rRNA". It matches the Rfam family "Bacterial small subunit ribosomal RNA", at positions 354 to 796 of the family's 1533-position model. The record is from RNAcentral.
GUCGAGAAUCUUUCACAAUGGGGGAAACCCUGAUGGAGCGACGCCGCGUGGGGGAUGAAUGGCUUCGGCCCGUAAACCCCUGUCAUCUGCGAUCAAACCUUUUCGGUGAACAGCCGAAAAGCUGAUAGUAGUAGAAGAGGAAGGGACGGCUAACUCUGUGCCAGCAGCCGCGGUAAUACAGAGGUCCCAAGCGUUGUUCGGAUUUACUGGGCGUAAAGGGUGCGUAGGUGGCGGAGCAAGUUCGAUGUGAAAUCUCUGAGCUCAACUCAGAAACGGCAUUGAAUACUGCUUUGCUCGAGGGUUGGAGGGGGGACUGGAAUUCUCGGUGUAGCGGUGAAAUGCGUAGAUAUCGAGAGGAACACCAGUGGCGAAGGCGAGUCCCUGGACAACUCCUGACACUGAGGCACGAAAGCUAGGGGAGCAAACAGGAUUAGAUACCCGGGUAGUCC